UUCCGGUUGAUCCCGCCGGACCCCACUGCUAUCGAGAUGGGACUAAGGUAUGCUAGUCGAACGACCAGAACUAUGUCUGGGAGUGGCACACUGCUCAGUAACACGUAGCUAACCUACCCUUAGGACGUGGAUACCCCCGAGAAAUUGGGGUUAAUCCGCGAUAGAUGUAAUGUCCUGGAAUGGUAUUACGUCUAAAGGUAUUUCAUACAUGUUUGAAAUAUGCCUAAGGAUGGGGCUGCGGCCGAUCAGGCUGUUGGUGAGGUAAUGGCUCACCAAACCUUUGACCGGUACGGGCCAUGAGAGUGGUAGCCCGGAGAUGGACACUGAGACAAGGGUCCAGGCCCUAAGGGGCGCAGCAACCGCGAAACCUCCACAAUGCACUCACGUGCGAUGGGGCUAUCUCGAGUGCCACCUGAUGAAGGUGGCUUUUCCUAGGUCUUCAAAGCCUUGGGAAUAAGAGGGGGGCAAGACUGGUGUCAGCCGCCGCGGUAACACCAGCCCCUCGAGUGGUGGGGAUGAUUAUUUGGCCUAAAGCGUCCGUAGCCGGCCGAGCAAGUCUUCCGUUAAAUCCAGCGUCUCAAGCGUUGGACUGCGGGAGAUACUGCAGGGCUAGAGAGUGGGAGAGGUCAGCGGUAUUCUGGGGGUAGGGGCGAAAUCCUUUGAUCCCCGGAGGACCACCAGUGGCGAAGGCUGCUGACUAGAACACGUCUGACGGUCAGGGACGAAAGCUGGGGUAGCGAACCGGAUUAGAUACCCGGGUAGUCCCAGCCGUAAACGAUGCAUGCUAGGUGUUGGGUUGGGCCAC
RNAcentral lists this ribosomal RNA (805 nucleotides) under uncultured archaeon. RNAcentral's name for it is "bacterial SSU rRNA". It matches the Rfam family "Archaeal small subunit ribosomal RNA", at positions 1 to 787 of the family's 1478-position model. The record is from RNAcentral.